UACGUAGGGUGCAAGCGUUGUCCGGAAUUAUUGGGCGUAAAGAGCUCGUAGGCGGUCUGUCGCGUCGGAUGUGAAAAUCCAGGGCUCAACCCUGGACCUGCAUUCGAUACGGGCAGACUAGAGUUCGGUAGGGGAGACUGGAAUUCCUGGUGUAGCGGUGAAAUGCGCAGAUAUCAGGAGGAACACCGGUGGCGAAGGCGGGUCUCUGGGCCGAAACUGACGCUGAGAAGCGAAAGCGUGGGGAGCGAACAGG
RNAcentral lists this ribosomal RNA (253 nucleotides) under uncultured bacterium. RNAcentral describes it as "partial 16S ribosomal RNA". It matches the Rfam family "Bacterial small subunit ribosomal RNA", at positions 524 to 776 of the family's 1533-position model. The record is from RNAcentral.